CAUAAAACAUCUUGUUUUAUUCUUCUUAUCAUGCCAGACACAGAAAACAAGACGUGAUAAACACAAAAGCAAAUAAUUACAGAUCCAUAAUGGAUAAUGCGUUUAGGUUAAAUGCUAACUGUGUGCUAAGUCUUGCUUCCUUUACUCAGACAAUUAGUUUCAAUGAAGUCAGAAAAAGACUACUCAUCUGAGUUUGGAGGAAUUCAGGGUGGAUCUGAAGGGUUAAAAAGCCAGAGACUUACAAAACGAAGUUUCCUUCUUCUGUGGGUUUUUAUGAGAAAAGGAAAAUAAUGUCCUAAUCAAGUCUUCAAACUGAGGCCCAAACACCCCUUCUGCUUCUAUGGAUGGCAGAGAGAUGAAACCAGGAACUGGAGUGCUGAAGGAAGCUGCAUAGAUGGAUUCACCUUCCCGGGCCAUCAGUCCAUCACCUUUCCCCCUUUUGAAGGCCUAACUCCAUUCACAGAGGUCAAGUACAUUAGUACCUUUCACAGGACUAAAUUCAAAUGAUUUUUUAAAAGAGUGAUGGAGCUUCAUGAAUACUAUUUAUGCUUUAUUUGACUUAGUUUAAGCUUUUUAAAUACAAAAUGCUCUCUCCUCAAUAAUUUGGCUGUUAGAGCUGUAUUAGCCCAUUACUAGCCAGGGGAGGGAAGAGACAGACGGGAUUUUGUUCUUUUGACUGAUACCCAAUUUUGCAUGAAGCAUCUUUUCCCCUCAUUAAUACUCAUAGAAAAACACACAGUAAGGGGGCCUGUACAUGAACAACUUAUGCUAGUUGUAUACUUAGUCCAUUUCAAUGGAAGCGAUUCUGAAAAAACUCAUGUGACAGCAGUGCUGUGUAUAUUGUACAACAGCACAUUCAUAGAGGGUAAGUAAAGCUAAAUAACUUAGAGAAUAACAAAAAUAUCAAGUAAUGUUGAAAAAAUUGAAUAAAAAUCCACAAAAAUAGAAGACAACUAAACAAAAAUAAUUUUGAAAUUUUAAAGCAUGUUCAUGACAUUUUUCUUCAUUUUUCAACCAGUUCCAGAAUUUCUACAGAAAGAGUUUUUGCUGCCUGUUGUUCACCAUUACAAGCACUUCCAAAGCAAAAUAAGCAAGUUUCUGCAAGGCCCAGAGGAAGUGGAAAUCUAUAUAAAUGACAUUUCAGUCUGUUGGAAGAUUGAAGAAGAGCAUAACUUAAGGUUAAAGCAAGUUCUGAAGAAAAACAGAUGAUGAUGACAGACUUCAGACACCUCUGGGAAACAAUAUCCUUGGCUGCAAUAUUUUCAUUUGCUAAUUUCAGAUCUUUUCAGACAAUACUUUUUAAAGAAUUAAAGAAAUCUUUGCAUUUGAUCUGCAUCGUUUCCCCCCUUCACUAAACUAAAUAUUUGCCAAUUAAUAAAAAGUGUGUACAGCGGAAAGAACGGUCA
This 1406-nucleotide long non-coding RNA is filed under the name Chrysemys picta bellii (western painted turtle). RNAcentral's name for it is "lncRNA (ENSCPBG00000019017.1)". Lineage: Eukaryota; Metazoa; Chordata; Testudines; Emydidae. The record is from RNAcentral.